UGGCCUUCUGACAAGUUCGUUUAACUUAUCAUUGAAGCAAUGACAACACAAAGCCAGCGGAGAGAGACUCCCAACGUCGAUCUAUUUGUCAAAACCGACUUAUUCGGGAUAAUGCGUGCAUCGCGGGUUAAAAAAGCCAGUUUCAGCAAGUGCCCGUACUGGCUCCAUUGAUUCAUCAUGACAGCUACAUCCCAGCUGAAGAAUACACGCGUGCCAGGACUACCGUCCUUAGCACUCCUAGCGCAUUCUCUUAAAGAUGCUUCCCGUCACAUCAACUGGGCGAAGAGCUCAAUGAAGAUGGCAAACUUCAUUUGUAGCAGGGCGAAGCACCUUUACACUAUCGUCGUGAUCCACGAGCAUAUCCUGAUGUGAACCUUCCCAACAGGCCGUAGCGUCCCCGAAGGCCCGUACACGGUCACAUACACAGCUGCUUAAAACAUUGAGCCGAUACGCAGAGUCGGAAUGGAUUUGCAUUUCUUGGUACUCGAAAUUAUACUCAAAUGGACCUUUCUCAACCAUCAAAAUCAGGCACUUGUGCUCGUCGGCCGGAGUUUUUUGGGGGGGGGGGGGGUGAUCUUGCGACGAGAAAUCGGCAGGCACUCGCCGCUGCCCCGAGCUAACGAUGAAUCGACAACUUGUCAAUCAGCUACAAAACGAAUUGAUCGAAACACAGAGACGGCAAAACCGACGCGACGUGUCUCCUGUUCCCGGCAAGCUGUAGCUGUGAGAGAAAUGAGGAAAGAAGUUCAGGUACGAACUCUGCUAAAAGCCAGACUGCCCAGAAGAAGGCUUCAGCCUAAGGAUGGAGACCGAAGUAGUGAUGGACAGAGGCAGCUCGAAAAUACGCGCACGAUUUCAUUCGCUAGCGUUAACAGCGCGCCUCGGCUUGGCGUUUCGAGCAAAGAGUCUUCGUCAGAAAGCGAUGAGGAGCCGUCUUUCGUAACGUUCAAUAUUCAGCCGUUGCUUAUGCGAAAACAAAAGCGACGAAGCUGAUCGAGGACGUCAGCUGAGCGAUCAAGCACUUCGAGCGACGAUUCAAAUGCAGCUCAUGCGUCAGCAUUUGAGUAGACGAUGACCACAAAAAAAGUUACACGUUUUUCUUGGAGAGG
Molecule: non-coding RNA, 1109 nt
Organism: Varroa destructor (honeybee mite)
Lineage: Eukaryota; Metazoa; Arthropoda; Arachnida; Mesostigmata; Varroidae
Source: RefSeq, a predicted model, not a curated record